Molecule: long non-coding RNA, 3402 nt
Filed under: Nicotiana tabacum (common tobacco)
Lineage: Eukaryota; Viridiplantae; Streptophyta; Magnoliopsida; Solanales; Solanaceae
Description: long non-coding RNA (NTAB_LNC017694)
Source: RNAcentral
UGACAAAAGACUCAACAAACUUAACUAGUCUAUGACAGACUCUAAUAUCACCUAAAAGACUCGACAUUAUUGUACAAAAUUAGAAGAUAAAAGAUGACAUAAAAAGAAAAAUAGACUCGAAACAUAAUUAAAAAAAAUCUCCUUAAGCAACUCCUGAAUGAGCGAUCUUGACUGGAUGGUCCUGCGGUUUCUAUCAUGCUUAAACUCCAGUAAGUAGAUCCACACCUGUAUGAGAAAAUUAAGACCAGAUAAAGUUAAAGACCUAGAACACUAUCUGAGAUAAUAACACUUCCUGUUGGACACAUGCAAGACAUGAUUGAGGCUAUUUUUGCAAAAUGGCUUAUGUGGCAAAAAGUGGCUAGAAAUGCAAAAUUUGGCUAAGACCCCGCAAAGCCAAGAACCGAAGAUUCACUAGGAAGACCGGCCCUAUGUGGGUUUCCUUCGUAUCCCGCCCCGAGAGAUGAGAAUCAGGUUCGCGUAGUUCGGGAAGAUUGGAUACAGAUGAGAAUUAAAAUAACUAAUUUAGAGAAAAUAUAUUUUUUGCCUUUUUUUUUUGGAAAAAUGAUGAAACAUGUAAACUCUUUUUGGAUUUUUCUUUUUCCUUUUUUUAUUCCUUUUUUUUUUUGGAAAAUGAUGGGAAAGUGCAAAAUCUUUUUGGAUUUUUCAUAUUUUUUUUCUUUUUCCCUAAAAAAUGUGAAAGAAAAACAUAACUGGGCCCUACUUGCUUCAUUUUUAUACUUCAACCUCUAUUCUUUCUCAUUUACCCUCAAACCUCAUUGGUCCGCCAAAUGACCCCUUUUACCCUUGAAGAUUGUAAUAUGUAGCACAUUAGGAUGCAUCAGGAUGGUCUUUUAUUUUUGGGUAAACUUGUUCUAGACGGACCCAACCCCUGUGUUGAGUCCCCUAAGUCAAAUGCACGUGAUGUAAACAAACGUUCCUACUAGGGAUCCGGCAUGGGGUUAUGUUAUUAUAGGUUUAUAACCUGGGUAUAUUGUUCUAGACCUGGCUUACCUGAGCAGACAACUCGAGCCGAGGGGGGCAGCGUACCGGGAAUACAGAAGCUUGACCGGCUUUGCAACUUAUCCGAACCUCGUUCUAAUAUUGGGAUAUGACUCUAACAGAAAAGAAGUUACACGAAGUGUACACUUCCGAGAUGAUUUAGAAGACUCAGAGAGAGGAGGGUUUCGUAACGGUUUAUAUACAAUUCAAACAAUAUCAAAGCGGUAAAAAGCGACAUUUAGCACAUUAAGAUUAAACACGUAAAAAUGAGAUAAUAAAUAAAAGCCAACUAUAGCGGUUAUUCGAAGCUCGAAUUCUAAACCCUGAACCAGAAGUUCUGGGUUCUUAUCCCCAGCAGAGUUCCCAUAGUUAUCACACCUCCUUUUUCUACCCCUAGAAGGGGUAUAUGGGAGUUUUUCCAAUUAAAGUGACAAUAACCGAAACGAGAUUAUUUAUAUUAAAAUCAGAAUCGCCACUUGGGAUAAUUUAUGGUGUCCCAAGUCACCGAUUUAAAAUCCCGAAUCGAGGAAGUUGACACUUAUUUAUGGUGUGUGUACACAGAAAUCCGGGUAAGAAAUUCUGUUAAUCCAGGAGCAAGUGUUAGGCAUUCCUGGGUUAUGUAGUUUUAGCACGGUCACUCAACUGUUAAUAUUGGCCUAUUUAUUUGAUUGAUUUCAUAUUUUAUACAUAUUGUGCAUUUUUAACUGUCUAACCGCUUUUAAUGUUUAUGGAACAAAUAACGAUUUUCAUACACUUGCGAACCGCGUCAAAUGAAAUGCACCCGCGAUUUACAACAUAUUUAUUUCUAUAUUAUUCGAAGUUGUGAUCGAGUCACAUGAAAUGUACACCUGGAUGAGAUUUACGUAUCGUGACCACGCCACGGGAACCGUACCUAUAGCAACGAUGAUCUAUUAAUCUCACAUUAAUAAUCAUAAAGUAGACAACGACUAAUUCUCUUAAUCAUCUACAACAAUGCAGUACUAUAUUAAUGAUUCCUCAUUUCUGGCAUAAGAGACAAAAGAUAAUCUUUUCUAUUCCCUAAUUAUAUAUCUUAGUUUGAUCUUGGUUGAAGUUUAGAAUUAAUAAUAAACAAGAGAUUCCACUACGGCAAGCAGAAACAUUGACGUGAAGAGUUAAAGAUACAAAGCAAUAUGAACUAUACACAACUGGUUCGAUAUUGCAAGAAGCAAAUACUUUAGCAACGAAAUCAACAAAUUUGCAAAGGAACAUAUUUGAGACUGAUCUAUGCUGUAGCAAUUAGAUAUCAUAAAAUCGUGAAACACAAGCUCAUCCUAAAAUACCAGUGUAGUAGUUACAACCACUUUAAAUCAAAUCAAACUGAUAAUUAAAGUGUGAAAAAAAUAGAUCAAUGAACGAAGAAAUUCUUACGAGCACGCAUACACAGAACCGGAUCCGGAACACUGAAACAAAACUCCUCGCGCGGAAAAGGAUGCUAAACGAAUUUUGGACUCUUUACUGUUUUCAGCUUCUUCUUUUUUUUGUUUUCUUUUCUGUUUCAACCUCUAUGCCUCUCGUUUUGGACUGAAGAUCAUCGCCGGCGUUAGAGCAGAGGAGUCGUCGGCUGAUCUAGGUGAUGAGGAGGGUGUUCAUUGUUAGGGGGUCCGUUAGUUUAGUGAGAGGAGCGACGACGGCUGUGUGCUCUAGGGCUCGGGGUCUGUUGGUUAGAGAUGAAGAAGCAGUCAGUGGUUUGUUUAGGGGUGUUCAAAAGUUGAAGAAGAAGAACGGUAGGGGGCGGGGGGGGGGGGGGUCUCUUGGUAAGGGUGACGACUGGUGUUGUGUGUGCUGGUGGCAUUAGGCUGCUAUGGAGGAGUUCUUUUGUUCUCUAAUGGUGAAGAAGAAGAGAGCUCAUGGGGUUUUGCGGCUGGAGCUGUUUUUAGGAUCCUUUUUCUUUUGGCAAUCUGCUAGGCAAGCGCCUAUGGCUAGUUUUUUUAUUAAUAACAGAAAAGAAAAAUACAACAAUUAGGAAAAAUACAAAUAAGGGGGACAAUAGCACCGAUAUUGUUACCCAUAUACCUUGGCUAUAUAAUCACUCCUCUGCGCCUCACAUUGCCUUAUGAUGGCAGCCUCAUGUAGAGGAUUCAUGGUGUAGCUGUCGGCAAAGUCUCACGAGGGCAUAUAAUCUCAUAGCCGUGUGGAUAUUUUUCUAAAGGCAUAGGACCAAGGCAACACAAAACGAACUAAACCUUACCUUACUAAACCUAUUGAGGCAAAGAAAAGGAUUAGCUACUUCGGAGUUUUUUUUUGUUGAAGAAGAUGACUCCCAGGACCAUCUCUUUGUGUCAAAAACGCUGAAGCUUCUCAAGAUCCUUAGGGUUUUCUUGUUGUCUUCAUGGAAGAAGAAAAGUGUUCGUUAGUCUAGUUCCCAAAAACGGCUGAUCGGCU